CUUUGACGGGUAACGGGGAAUUAGGGUUCGACUCCGGAGAGGGACCUGAGAAACGGCUACCACAUCCAAGGAAGGCAGCAGGCGCGCAAAUUACCCAAUCCCAACAUGGGGAGGUAGUGACAAGAAAUACUGAUAUAGGGUCCUAUAGGAUCUUGUAAUUGGAAUGAGUACAAUUUAAACCCAUUAACGAGGAACAACUAGAGGGCAAGUCUGGUGCCAGCAGCCGCGGUAAUUCCAGCUCUAGUAGCAUACAUUAAAAUUGUUGCAGUUAAAACGCCCGUAGUUGAAGUUUAGGUCCUUAUCAUCUGGUCUGCCUCACCGCUAGUACUGGUAUGAUUGGGCCUUUUUUCUUGGUAAACUGUUAUGCCCUUUAUUGGGUGUGGCAGUGAACUAGGACUUUUACUUUGAAAAAAUUAGAGUGUUUAAAGCAGGCUUUUGCUCGAAUACCUUAGCAUGGAAUAAUGGAAUAUGACGAGUGGUUGUUUUUCAUUGGUUUUCACGACUACCGUAAUGAUUGAUAGGGAUGGUCGGGGGCAUCGGUAUUCGAUCGUCAGA
This 555-nucleotide ribosomal RNA is filed under the name Gloeandromyces plesiosaurus f. plesiosaurus. RNAcentral's name for it is "SSU rRNA". It matches the Rfam family "Eukaryotic small subunit ribosomal RNA", at positions 350 to 909 of the family's 1831-position model. Lineage: Eukaryota; Fungi; Ascomycota; Laboulbeniomycetes; Laboulbeniales; Laboulbeniaceae. The record is from RNAcentral. RNAcentral also lists the same sequence under 1 other name.